This 1110-nucleotide long non-coding RNA is filed under the name Salvia miltiorrhiza (redroot sage). RNAcentral's name for it is "long non-coding RNA (SMIL_LNC005188)". The record is from RNAcentral. Lineage: Eukaryota; Viridiplantae; Streptophyta; Magnoliopsida; Lamiales; Lamiaceae.
GAAAAGCAUUCUUCGGGGGAAAGGAGAGCUUGUUCUUUAUCGGCGUCCAAGGAACGUGUAUGUGAGGCGGGAGUGACAGUGGGAACCCGGGCGACACACUUGAGCAAGCGUCAGCAGGAUACAGGGUGCGAGACACAUUCUUCUUGGGUGCAUCUAGAGGUGAAGUAACCUCAUCUUCUGACGAGGAGUACAGGACACUAUCCGGUGCGAAGUUCGCAGUCUUUUACGGGGAGUCCUCGAUAAUGAUCACGGUAUGGGAUUUUUCUAUCUUCACAUCGUAAAGUCCAAACACCUCACACAUCUGGAGAUAUUCCGGCUCACCCUUGUGAUAAUAGGCUUUGAAGAAUUCGUUCUCCUACACACGUAUUUAUAUUACUUCGAAUGAUAUGCAUGCAUGAAAUUACUCGAAAAACAAGGGUGCGAAAAAACAACCUUGAAGAGUCGCUUCCAUACUUCGUCGUCGGCAUGAACCAUGUUCGUCGCCGCAUCCCAGUUGGUCUCCGGCAUUUUAAGCAGUUGCUUGAAGCAAACAUAUCGAUCGUGCAGGAAAUCGACACGUCCCUCGACCUGUUUCAAAGUGACCUCCGCCUUGAGUUGUGAGUUAAGCGCUAGCAUCGCGGAUAUUAAGGCAUGAGGAGACAGGUGCGGUGGCGAUGGCUUGCAAUCGUCGAUCUUAUUGGCGAGGCACUUCAACAACAUGGAAUCCUUUUCGGCAUCCCAUUUGUGGACAUACAGAAACCAUGUCUGCGGGCCUAUGCCAUUGAUCGGCAUGUUGAAAGAAGGGAGGUGAAAAAGCUCAAGGUAAACCUUGAAGAUGGUGUGAAUUUGAUACUGAAACUAAGGCUUAAACCACUCCAAUUUAUAAGCUUAAGCAUUGGCUUCUCGGUGGUGUAAGACUAUGUCAUUUAUUAUGGUGGAAAUAAAUAUGGGAGUUGGUGGUUGUUAGUCAUUUAAUCAAUAUGGAGAUAAACUCUGUCUUUUUUUGUUCCAACAAGCAAGACUCUAUUUUUAGUUAAAUUGGAAGGUAGAUUGCAGCCAUAAUAUGUGUAUUCAGGCGUAUUUUUAUGAAAUGCAUUCAAUGAGGUUGCCAAUAGCUAAGGCAAAAUUGAA